This 585-nucleotide ribosomal RNA is filed under the name uncultured bacterium. Its description in RNAcentral is "bacterial SSU rRNA". It matches the Rfam family "Bacterial small subunit ribosomal RNA", at positions 338 to 916 of the family's 1533-position model. The record is from RNAcentral.
CCUACGGGAGGCAGCAGUGGGGAAUUUUGGACAAUGGGCGAAAGCCUGAUCCAGCAAUGCCGCGUGAGUGAAGAAGGCCUUCGGGUUGUAAAGCUCUUUUGUCAGGGAAGAAACGGUGAAAGCUAAUAUCUUUUGCUAAUGACGGUACCUGAAGAAUAAGCACCGGCUAACUACGUGCCAGCAGCCGCGGUAAUACGUAGGGUGCAAGCGUUAAUCGGAAUUACUGGGCGUAAAGCGUGCGCAGGCGGUUUUGUAAGUCUGAUGUGAAAUCCCCGGGCUCAACCUGGGAAUUGCAUUGGAGACUGCAAGGCUAGAAUCUGGCAGAGGGGGGUAGAAUUCCACGUGUAGCAGUGAAAUGCGUAGAUAUGUGGAGGAACACCGAUGGCGAAGGCAGCCCCCUGGGUCAAGAUUGACGCUCAUGCACGAAAGCGUGGGGAGCAAACAGGAUUAGAUACCCUGGUAGUCCACGCCCUAAACGAUGUCUACUAGUUGUCGGGUCUUAAUUGACUUGGUAACGCAGCUAACGCGUGAAGUAGACCGCCUGGGGAGUACGGUCGCAAGAUUAAAACUUAAAUGAAUUGACGG